GAUGAACGCUAGCGGCAGGCCUCAUACAUGCAAGUCGAGGGGCAGCGGGACACUUCGGUGUUGCCGGCGACCGGCGUACGGGUGCGUAAUGCGUAUGCAAUCUACUUUACACUGGGGAAUAGCUCCCGGAAACCGGAAUUCAUACCCCAUAUUAUCUUACAAGCGCAUGUUUGUAAGAUGAAAGCUACGGCGGUGUAAAAUGAGCAUACGUCCUAUUAGCUAGUUGGCGGGGUAAAGGCCCACCAAGGCGAUGAUGGGUAGGGGUUCUUAGUGGAAGAUCCACCACACUGGAACUGAGAUACGGGCCAGACUCCUACGGGAGGCAGCAGUAGGGAAUAUUGGUCAAUGGGCGCAAGCCUGAACCAGCCAUGCCGCGUGCAGGAUGAAGGCUCUAUGAGUUGUAAACUGCUUUUGUACAGGAACAAAAAAGCCCCUGCGGGGGUUCUUGAGUGUACUGUAAGAAUAAGCACCGGCUAAUUCCGUGCCAGCCGCCGCCGUAAUAC
This 503-nucleotide ribosomal RNA is filed under the name uncultured bacterium. RNAcentral's name for it is "bacterial SSU rRNA". It matches the Rfam family "Bacterial small subunit ribosomal RNA", at positions 28 to 526 of the family's 1533-position model. The record is from RNAcentral.